AUACGGGGGGUGCAAGCGUUACUCGGAAUUACUGGGCGUAAAGGACGCGUAGGCGGUUUUUAAAGUCAGAUGUGAAAGCCUAUGGCUUAACCAUAGAACUGCAUUUGAAACUUCUAAACUAGAGUGAGGGAGAGGUCAGUGGAAUUAGUGGUGUAGGGGUAAAAUCCGUAGAGAUCACUAGGAAUACUCAUAGCGAAGGCGACUGACUGGAACUUUACUGACGCUGAGGCGUGAAAGCGUGGGGAGCAAACAGGAUUAGAAACCCCAGUAGUCC
RNAcentral lists this ribosomal RNA (274 nucleotides) under uncultured bacterium. Its description in RNAcentral is "partial 16S ribosomal RNA". It matches the Rfam family "Bacterial small subunit ribosomal RNA", at positions 523 to 796 of the family's 1533-position model. The record is from RNAcentral.